RNAcentral lists this long non-coding RNA (988 nucleotides) under Capsicum annuum. RNAcentral's name for it is "long non-coding RNA (CANN_LNC015519)". The record is from RNAcentral. Lineage: Eukaryota; Viridiplantae; Streptophyta; Magnoliopsida; Solanales; Solanaceae.
AAUUUGAAGACAGGUUUAGGCUUUCUUGAGGUUGUUUGCUUGCAUUUCUCCCUCCACUAGAAUGGUCACCAGAAGAAGGAUUCCAAGCUGGAAAUAUCUUCAUUAUUAGGUAAUCAAUAAUUUCUUAUGUCUUAGUUCCUAUUUGUCUUAUUUCGUGUCGCCAGUAUUUUCUCAUAUUUCGUAUUUCUACGAUUACUAUUUUUACAACCCAGUUAUUUACUAUUCUUUAUCUUGAGCUGAGGUCUGUCGGAAACAACCUCUCUACUUCUUCGGAGGUAGCAGUAUGGACUGCGUACAUCGUACCCUCCCCAGACCCCACUUUGUGGUAAUACACUGGGUUUGUUGUUGUUGUUAUAUUAGGUAAUCAAUAAAGUCAGCAAUAAAAGCUACAUCAUGAUCAGCUAGCUGCAAUUGUUCAACCAUCUCAGCCGCAACUAAAGGUGCACUGUCAGUAUCAAGAUAAAAAAUGAAGUGUAUAUGGCUUACACUACCUGCAAUAACCAAAUGCGUGGAAUAAGAAAGAGGAUAUCUGAUUCCACAAUGCUCAUAAAUAAAAAAAAAAAAAAUAAUAGGAAACAAAUUGAUAUUCAUAUACUGACCAGCGGGAUCUCUGAUUCGCAAGGUCAACAAAAUUGAGUUAACAUCAUUCUUCAUCCCCAUUAAUUUAAAUUCAUUAUUGUGAUGGUACCUCUGAAAUUCCAAACCUCGAAAACUAGGACUUCCACAACUGGAAUGAGUAUUUAUAGAUUGGUUAGAUUCUAAAUCCACAUCCAUGGAAUGAGGUAAAGGUUUCAACAAACUCAAGGAUCUAGGACAUUGCUUAGGUAACUGAAUUUGAUUAUCGACUGACUCCAACUUUUCAUAUUGAAGAUACGGGUCUUUCAGGAGGUCCCUGGCUGACAACCUCUCAGAUGCUGCAACCAAGCAUUUUUCAAUGAAUGUUUUGACUUCAGAAUCCAUAACUUUACUGAGGGAAGCAGGUUUAAUG